Molecule: transfer RNA, 73 nt
Filed under: Bacteroides fragilis str. 34-F-2 #13
Lineage: Bacteria; Pseudomonadati; Bacteroidota; Bacteroidia; Bacteroidales; Bacteroidaceae
Description: tRNA-Gly
Rfam family: tRNA
About the family: Transfer RNA (tRNA) molecules are approximately 80 nucleotides in length.
Source: RNAcentral
GCGGAAAUAGCUCAGUUGGUAGAGCAUAACCUUGCCAAGGUUAGGGUCGCGAGUUCGAGUCUCGUUUUCAGCU